GAAAGACAACCGCGGAUGGCUUUAAGCCAGAUGAGGAAAGUCCGAGCUCCAUAGGGCAGGAUGCCGGAUAACGUCCGGCAAGAGUGAUCUUAGGGAUAGUGCCACAGAAAUGAGUACCGCCUGCUGAGGCAGGUAAGGGUGGAACGGUGCGGUAAGAGCGCACCAGCAGUUUGGUAACAGACUGGCUAGGUAAACCCCAUCCGGAGCAAGACCAAAUAGGGAAGGGAUGAAGCGGCCCGCUGAGCCUUCCGGGUUGUGUCGCUUGAGCUUACAGGUAACUGUAGGCCUAGAUAAAUGGUUGUCACCGCUUUGCGGAACAGAACUCGGCUUAUUGA
RNAcentral lists this RNase P RNA (335 nucleotides) under uncultured Phascolarctobacterium sp. Its description in RNAcentral is "Bacterial RNase P class A". It matches the Rfam family "Bacterial RNase P class A". From Rfam's summary of the family: Ribonuclease P (RNase P) is a ubiquitous endoribonuclease, found in archaea, bacteria and eukarya as well as chloroplasts and mitochondria. Its best characterised activity is the generation of mature 5'-ends of tRNAs by cleaving the 5'-leader elements of precursor-tRNAs. Cellular RNase Ps are ribonucleoproteins. Lineage: Bacteria; Bacillati; Bacillota; Negativicutes; Acidaminococcales; Acidaminococcaceae. The record is from RNAcentral.